AACUUUAGUUAGUGGCGGACGGGUGAGUAACGCGUGAAUGACCUGACCUUAACUGGGGGACAACACAUGGAAACGUGUGCUAAUACCGCAUAGGACCACGAAGUCGCAUGGCUUUGGGGUGAAAGGAGAAAUCCGGAUAAGGAGGGGUUCGCGUCCCAUUAGCUAGUUGGAGGGGUAACGGCCCACCAAGGCGACGAUGGGUAGCCGGACUGAGAGGUUGAACGGCCACACUGGAACUGAGAGACGGUCCAGACUCCUACGGGAGGCAGCAGUGGGGAAUAUUGGGCAAUGGGGGAAACCCUGACCCAGCAACGCCGCGUGAGGGAAGAAGGUUUUCGGAUUGUAAACCUCUGUCCGUGGGGACGAAAAGAAUGACGGUACCCAUGGAGGAAGCCCCGGCAAACUACGUGCCAGCAGCCGCGGUAAUACGUAGGGGGCGAGCGUUGUCCGGAAUUACUGGGCGUAAAGGGUGCGUAGGUGGCUCAACAAGUCGGAUGUGGAAUACCCGGGCUUAACCCGGGGGUGUCAUUCGAAACUGUAGAGCUUGAGUGCAGAAGAGGAAAGUGGAAUUCCCAGUGUAGCGGUGAAAUGCGUAGAUAUUGGGAGGAACACCAGUGGCGAAAGCGACUUUCUGGGCUGUAACUGACACUGAGGCACGAAAGCGUGGGGAGCAAACAGGAUUAGAUACCCUGGUAGUCCACGCUGUAAAUGGUGGAUGCUAGGUGUAGGGGGUAUCGACCCCCCCUGUGCCGGAGCUAACGCAAUAAGCAUCCCGCCUGGGGAGUACGGCGCAAGGUUGAAACUCAAAGGAAUUGACGGGCCCGCACAGCAGCGAGCAUGUGGAUUAUCGAGCACGCGAGACUACCAGACUGACAUCCAU
RNAcentral lists this ribosomal RNA (880 nucleotides) under uncultured bacterium. Its description in RNAcentral is "bacterial SSU rRNA". It matches the Rfam family "Bacterial small subunit ribosomal RNA", at positions 84 to 991 of the family's 1533-position model. The record is from RNAcentral.